This is a non-coding RNA of Centruroides sculpturatus (bark scorpion), 74 nucleotides long. NCBI's taxonomy places the organism in Eukaryota, Metazoa, Arthropoda, Arachnida, Scorpiones, Buthidae. The record is from the annotation of a RefSeq genome assembly.
GCGGAUGUAGCUCAGACGGUCAGAGCACACGACUGAUAAUCGUGAGGUCGAUGGUUCGAUUCCAUUCAUUCGCA